RNAcentral lists this ribosomal RNA (253 nucleotides) under uncultured bacterium. RNAcentral describes it as "partial 16S ribosomal RNA". It matches the Rfam family "Bacterial small subunit ribosomal RNA", at positions 524 to 776 of the family's 1533-position model. The record is from RNAcentral.
UACAGAGGGUGCAAGCGUUGUUCGGAAUUACUGGGCGUAAAGCGCGUGUAGGCGGCUUUUUAAGUCGGACGUGAAAUCCCUGGGCUUAACCCAGGAACUGCGUCCGAAACUGCCUUGCUCGAGUAUGGGAGAGGGAAGUGGGAUUUCCGGUGUAGCGGUGAAAUGCGUAGAUAUCGGAAGGAACAUCAGUGUCGAAGGCGACUUCCUGGACCAAUACUGACGCUCAGGUGCGAAAGCGUGGGGAGCAAACAGG